GACGAACGCUGGCGGCGUGCUUAACACAUGCAAGUCGAACGGAAAGGCCCUGCUUUUGUGGGGUGCUCGAGUGGCGAACGGGUGAGUAACACGUGAGUAACCUGCCCUUGACUUUUGGAUAACUUCAGGAAACUGGGGCUAAUACCGGAUAGGAGCUCCUGCUGCAUGGUGGGGGUUGGAAAGUUUCGGCGGUUGGGGAUGGACUCGCGGCUUAUCAGCUUGUUGGUGGGGUAGUGGCUUACCAAGGCUUUGACGGGUAGCCGGCCUGAGAGGGUGACCGGCCACAUUGGGACUGAGAGACGGCCCAGACUCCUACGGGAGGCAGCAGUGGGGAAUAUUGCACAAUGGGCGGAAGCCUGAUGCAGCAACGCCGCGUGCGGGAUGACGGCCUUCGGGUUGUAAACCGCUUUCGCCUGUGACGAAGCGUGAGUGACGGUAAUGGGUAAAGAAGCACCGGCUAACUACGUG
Molecule: ribosomal RNA, 468 nt
Filed under: uncultured bacterium
Lineage: Bacteria
Description: partial 16S ribosomal RNA
Rfam family: Bacterial small subunit ribosomal RNA
Source: RNAcentral